Amphiprion ocellaris (clown anemonefish) is the source of this 1180-nucleotide long non-coding RNA. The record is from Ensembl. Lineage: Eukaryota; Metazoa; Chordata; Actinopteri; Pomacentridae.
CCAGCAGCAGAGAGAGCGCAGGAUGAGCAGCAUAAAUGUGGAGCAGAGACACAGAUGCAACAGAGACCUCCUCAACACAAGCAACACCAGAACCUUCCACCAGAAGAAACCAACCUCGACAUGGCUCUCUAUGCUGACCUCGCUCUUCAGGACACCGUGAAGGAGCAACUCUUCAUGUGUAAACUUCACAUGUUGGAAAGGAAAUGCAGCACAGGAGUGGAAAAGCUGAAGGCUCUGAUUGGGGAACACCUGCAGAAUGGCAUCCCUCUUUCAGACAUCCUGGAGAAAAUAAAAUCCCUGCUCACGUUGAGGAAAGCUCUGCUGUCGCACAACGGCUACUCCAAAUAUUCAAGGGACAUUUUAUGUCUGUUUCCUGAUGCAGAGGAAGACUUGGCUCCACUGUGCCUCUAAAAACAACUGGACAGAAAUUGCUGCAGUUUUGUGAUCUGCCAGUGGACUACCAGUGUUAGUGAUGCUGACAGCAUCUGUGUUGAAAAUCUACUGACUGAACAGAAAUGCGUUAUUUGCAUAAUGACAAGGAGACCAACAAUGCUUGUUUUACACAUUUACAGAAGAUUUCUUUUUAGGGUUGUAAAAGAAAAGCUGUUCCGCCUCAUCUGAUGUUGUUUCAGUUUUAACAGUGACCUGAAGAAGAUAAUAAGGGUUCAAAGUCAAAAGUGAAGAGACUAUUGAUGGCACAAAAGGCCUUAGUUAUAUUAUGGUAUGCUGCUAUUUGUGGGAUUUAUGAUUCUUGUGGUCCAACAAGACCACAGAAGAUAAAUCCAGUCUCUUAACUAUGCAACAAUUCAUUGUUGAUGUUUAGAUAUUACAGAAUGUUUUAAUGGAUUUUAUUUUACCAUCAGAUUUUUUUUUACUGUUUAACGUGACUGAAAUUGACCAUUUGACACCAAAUAGCAACGCUAACCUGUGACAAUAGUGAAUAGGUUAGCAUUGUGUGAUUACAUUUUGCAUAUCAGUCUUACUGCCUUGUUUCAAGGUUUAGUGUAUAAUAUCCUUUAAUACCUACCUUUCUUCUGAAAAGGGUUUCACCAUUGUUUUGUUCAUGCUGUGUAUGCUUAUCAUUUUUAUUCAUCACUUUUAUUUUUAUUCAUCCAAAAUGGAUUUAAAUUUGUUUUUGUGUUUUUACAUAUUUUGAGAAAAUAAAUAUCUGAAAAUAAAA